AUGCUUUCCUUGAGGUGUUGGGCGCCCGCAUUCGGUAUAGCGUUCGAGAGAGCCGUCGUUCUGCGCCCUCGAAAGUUCAACUCCUUAGUGGUUUGCGGUGCCAGGGGUCCGAGGCCGAGAUAUCCUCGCGUGUGGAAAACCGAUAAGAGAAUCGGAACCGUUUCCAAGUCGCAGAAGCUUGUCAAAUGUAUUAAGGGUUUGUCUAAUGUAAAGGAGGAGGUUUAUGGUGCUCUUGAUUCAUUCGUUGCAUGGGAACUGGAGUUUCCCUUGAUAGCAGUAAAGAAAGCACUGAAGACGCUUGAGGAUGAGAAGGAAUGGAAAAGAAUAAUUCAGGUUAUCAAGUGGAUGUUCAAUAAAGGUCAAGGGAAGACCAUGGGAAGCUAUCAAACUUUAUUAAACGCUUUAGUCGAGGAUGGACGAAUUGAGGAAGCAGAAGAGCUAUUUCAAAAGAUAUUCUCGAGAUAUAUGGAGGGAUUGCCACGUGUUUUUUUCAUGAAAAUAAUCUCCUUAUAUUACAGAUUGGGGUCAUAUGAGAAGAUGUUUGAGGUUUUUGCUGAUAUGGAAGAGCUGGGUGUUCGACCUGAUACCUCGAUUGUCAGGAUGCUCGGUGAUGUAUUUAUGAAGCUAGAGAUGCUGGACAAAUACGAAAAGUUAAAUAGGAAAUAUCCACCGCCAAAAUUUGAAUAUCGAUACAUCAAAGGAAGCAUGAAUCUUGACAAUGAAUUGAAAGAAGCGCCAAGAACAGUCCUGGACAUGAAUGUAUUAGGCAAUGCGGCUUCUGGAGACCAUAAAUUUGUAUAG
This 801-nucleotide ribosomal RNA is filed under the name Triticum aestivum (bread wheat). RNAcentral describes it as "partial small subunit ribosomal RNA". The record is from RNAcentral. Lineage: Eukaryota; Viridiplantae; Streptophyta; Magnoliopsida; Poales; Poaceae.